GGAGGGGGUGGCAUCUUUCCUCUUCAGGCGCGGGCCUGGCCCAGAGGCUACAGGAAGCCAGGACGCCGGGGAUUGUCUCUCGCAACCGCAGCCCAGCCCCAGUCAGGGAGGAAGUUCUGCCGGGCGCUCUCCGCCGGUGCCUCACUGGUUAUACUGCUAUACAGGAAACCUGGCAGCGCCGGAGCCGCGCGGUCGAGGAGGGAGCGCGGGACGCCGAGCCCACGCGCGCCUGCCGGGACAAGUGGAGACGAGGCCGGCGAGCGGACGCCCCGAGGUUGGCGAAGGAGCUGUGGCCGGGUCCCCUUCUUAUCCAGCCCGAGACACUGCGCUCCGGUGGGCGUCCCUGCGCUGGGAAUCCCGCUCGGAGUUUUUCCAGGCCCGGCCGGGUUGCUCCGGGAAAGGCCCUGUUGGGGGAGGUGGGCCCGGAGCUGUCAGGUCUACAAUCCGGUUGGAAGGGCUCGCAGUGGGUGAUUCAGGGUGCCAAUGACCUCCCCACGAACGGGAACGCCCGCACUAGACAACCAGCCCCAGACCGGCAUUCCCAGAGCCGCAGGCGGGAGGGACGCAGGGACUCCGGGACAGCAAAUCCCCGGGGGAGAAGGGAAGGGGGAAGGCGGGGCAGGGGAGGCCCACCCUCCUUGGGCUCCGCUAGCGACCAGCCAGCGCCCCUUCAGACGCAGCCUUCCUGGCUCCGGAUCCCGGCUUUCUGCUCCGGUCCUCGUCCCAAUGCCCCCCAAGGUCCCCAGCAGAGGCAUUCAGGUUCCUCCUCGCCCCGCCCAGACGCAGCUUCUUUGGGUAUGGGUGACAGCACUCCUGAGCGUCGCUGUCCCUAUUCGCUGCCGUUGCCAGCUCCGAUUCCGCGAAACCUCUCCGGCACCACCUCGGAAGCCCCGCCCAGGGCGAUGGUCCGGGCCUAACCUGCCGGCCCCGCCCACCCGGCCCUUGGGCUCCCUGAGGCCCGCCCAGCAGACUCGAGGAACGCUUGACAAAGUGGCGAAGGAGCCCUACGGGAGUCCCGGUUGGACCCUGCUCCUUCGGUCCCUCAGCCUCGGCAAGCCGCGGUCUCCUGGCCCUUGGCCUGGGUCACCUUAGGAGGCAGGAGGAGAUGUGGUCAGUGUGGGAGCUUGGAGGGGCCAUGCACUUCCGGAGAAGACCACCGACUCAUGGCUUUGGUGGAGGGGCGCCGGCAGAUUUAACCGGAGAGCAAUGGUGUGAUCUCCGCACACUGCAACCUCUGCCGCCAGGGUUCAAGUGGUUCUCCUGCCUCAGCCUCCCAAGCAGAUGGGACUACAG
Molecule: small RNA, 1293 nt
Filed under: Pan troglodytes (chimpanzee)
Lineage: Eukaryota; Metazoa; Chordata; Mammalia; Primates; Hominidae
Description: processed transcript
Source: RNAcentral